AUGCAACGCUGCUGUUUGCAGAGGAAGGACACCAGCUGCAACAAGAGUAGUGUCUGUUCUAGAGUGAGGGAUGAGCUCCACUGGACAUGGGUGGCUUUCCUGGCUGCAGUGAUCAGUAUUUCAUGUUAGCAAGUCUGAGAUUGCUCCAAGUCUUCAUCUCCUGCACUUUAUACUAAUCAAACCAUGUGUGACCACAGCUGUUUUUCCAAAAUGCCUGCGUUACUUGCUUUUGGUGCCGCCAGUCGAGUUCUCACUCCACAUAGCAAUGUCCACAAGGUGGUGCCACAGCUAAGAAGUUUGCAACAAAUAAGGCAAAAGUAAUUUGAUAAUUCUGUCUACUUUUUGCAACUGACUAAAGUAUCUGCAUCAUUAAAGAAUUCAAAUUUAUUGCAUAAGCCAAAUAUCACAGGUUUGCAAGCUCUUUUUUUAAACCACUAGUGUGAGCUAAGGUGUGUCUGUCUGCUGAGGGAGAGCAGCAGCCACACGCCUGUGACUGUCCCAAAUCCUGUACAAAAAUGAAGAGGCAGCUCAGGGUUUAGCAGUUAGGCUGAUGAAGAGCUGUGUAUUUCCUAGCAGGGUUACCUGUGCCAACACUGGCAUGUGUCUUAUGUUUUUGUCUGGGUCUCUUCAGCAGGAAUUGGCCUGAAUCCUGACAAGAAGAGUAGUUCGCCCACAGCUUCAGCUAAGGCAGCUUCCACUUACCCUGGACUGGCUGUGGCACAUCAGACCCGAAUUUCCUGAGGUUUUUCUGGAGCCAGGGGUAGCCAGGCUCCCUGCCCUAUGCUAAUCAACAGCUGACUGUUAAUUCCAAAGGGUAUGAAGUGCUUACAGAGGGAUCUGCACAGAUGCUCAAGUUUCUGGGCAUCUUUCUAGAAAAGAUCAGACUAGAGAAGGUACAAGGCAGUUACAGGGAAUGUAAGAUGUCACAUGUCCAGUACAGAAAAGACAAUAAAACUUCCAGGAAAAAGUUUGGAUGAUUUCUGUAUGUCCCAGAAGAGCUGAAGUGCAGCAGGACUUGGCCAUGCCCCUGAGAUGUGUGCCAGUUCUUCAGCUACCCUUGGCCACAUGGUGCUUCUUGCACCCCUGCCCUGCUCCCCUCAGUGGCCUCUGCAAUCCAGAUAUUUUGCACAGAGUAAAAAUAAUGUUCUAUUCUGAAGGGAAUGAAUGAUAGAGUAUCUAAGAUUAUACAUCUAAGUCUACACAGUGUGGAAACCCCAGGUAUGCAUUAUUUUAGCAAUUUAACAACUGAGUUGAAAUCCUGAACCCUCUCCCUUGCAGUAUUUGCAACAAUUUUUUGCUUUUAUUGCAAAUCCCAUAAAUAUUUUUAAAAGAUCGAAACUUUUUUUCCCCUAAGCCUGAUUUUCUGGUUUCCCAUUUAGGCAGUCCUGAACAAAACCUGCUUCAGCUCCACGCCUGACUCUUCCUGGGAGGAGGAGACUCGCAGCGCUGUGAGUCAGGAGGCAGCGUGAGCUCAGCAAUC
Molecule: long non-coding RNA, 1480 nt
Filed under: Chloebia gouldiae (Gouldian finch)
Lineage: Eukaryota; Metazoa; Chordata; Aves; Passeriformes; Passeridae
Description: Erythrura gouldiae (Gouldian finch) lncRNA (ENSEGOG00005016506.1)
Source: RNAcentral